RNAcentral lists this non-coding RNA (30 nucleotides) under Mus musculus (house mouse). Lineage: Eukaryota; Metazoa; Chordata; Mammalia; Rodentia; Muridae. The record is from RNAcentral.
UAGUCAUUGGGACUGCUUUCUGUGGUAUAC